Molecule: transfer RNA, 90 nt
Filed under: Pseudobdellovibrionaceae bacterium
Lineage: Bacteria; Pseudomonadati; Bdellovibrionota; Bdellovibrionia; Bdellovibrionales; Pseudobdellovibrionaceae
Description: Bdellovibrionaceae bacterium (bioreactor metagenome) tRNA-Ser
Rfam family: tRNA
About the family: Transfer RNA (tRNA) molecules are approximately 80 nucleotides in length. Their secondary structure includes four short double-helical elements and three loops (D, anti-codon, and T loops).
Source: RNAcentral
GGAGGUUUGGCCGAGUGGCUUAAGGCGCACGCUUGGAAAGCGUGUGUAGGGUAACACCUACCGUGAGUUCGAAUCUCACAGCCUCCGCCA